UAACGCGAAGAACCUUACCUGGGUUUGACAUGUUUUCGACCGGCCUAGAGAUAGGUCUUUCCUUCGGGACGAAUUCACAGGUGCUGCAUGGCUGUCGUCAGCUCGUGUCGCGAGAUGUUCGGUUAAGUCCGGCAACGAGCGCAACUCGUGUCGUUAGUUGCAAACAGUUCGGCUGUGCACUCUAGCGAGACUGCCCGUGUCAAGCGGGAGGAAGGCGCGGACGACGUCAAGUCAGUAUGGCCCUUAUGCCCAGGGCUGCACACGUGCUACAAUGGUCGGUGCAAUGGGAAGCAAUGUCGCGAGGCGGAGCAAAUCCCCAAAACCGGCCCCAGUUCGGAUUGGAGUCUGCAACUCGACUCCAUGAAGUCGGAAUCGCUAGUAAAGGCGUAUCAGCUACGACGCCUUGAAUACGUUCCCGGGUCUUGUACACACGC
RNAcentral lists this ribosomal RNA (434 nucleotides) under uncultured Verrucomicrobiota bacterium. Its description in RNAcentral is "bacterial SSU rRNA". It matches the Rfam family "Bacterial small subunit ribosomal RNA", at positions 957 to 1393 of the family's 1533-position model. The record is from RNAcentral. Lineage: Bacteria; Pseudomonadati; Verrucomicrobiota.